This 393-nucleotide ribosomal RNA is filed under the name uncultured bacterium. Its description in RNAcentral is "bacterial SSU rRNA". It matches the Rfam family "Bacterial small subunit ribosomal RNA", at positions 28 to 404 of the family's 1533-position model. The record is from RNAcentral.
AAUCAACGCUGGCGGCGUGCCUAACACAUGCAAGUCGAGCGGGAAAGGGGGCUUCGGUCCCUGAGUAUAGCGGCGGACGGGUGAGUAACACGUGGGUAAUUUGCCCUUGGGUGUGGAAUAACUCAGGGAAACUUGAGCUAAUACCGCAUGACAUCCCCUUCUCACAGGAGUUGGGGAUCAAAGCCGGGGACCCUUCGGGGCCCGGCGCCUGAGGAGAAGCCCGCGCCCGAUUAGCUAGUUGGUGAGGAAUGGCUCACCAAGGCUUCGAUCGGUAGCCGGCCUGAGAGGGCGGACGGCCACACUGGGACUGAGACACGGCCCAGACUCCUACGGGAGGCAGCAGUGGGGAAUCUUGCGCAAUGGGCGAAAGCCUGACGCAGCGACGCCGCGUGA